Molecule: long non-coding RNA, 931 nt
Organism: Lathyrus oleraceus (garden pea)
Lineage: Eukaryota; Viridiplantae; Streptophyta; Magnoliopsida; Fabales; Fabaceae
Exons: 2
Source: RefSeq, a predicted model, not a curated record
UUCUCUCUCACCUCACGUUUCCCUCACUCUACACGCCACCUAUCUACCCACUCCAUCAGUCUCUCCUAGCGAAAAUAAAAAAAAGAAAAGAAUAAGGUUUUGUCCGUUGGAGAUUGUUAUAUUUUACUCUCUCUACUGACUUCACAAAGGGACCAACAUACAUUAACUUACUCUCUCUCUCAAAGAAUAAAGAAAAGGAUUAAAAAUGGAAAAAGAGAAGAAGCCUUUGGGUCUUUCCCUGAGCGUCUCACCCUUAACCAUCACCAUUCCUCUUCUUCAAAUACUCCAUCGUCUUCCACCCUUUCACCACACUAACACCUCAUUUUCGCUUCCGCCGAAACAACCUAGAAUAACCGCCGUGAAUCGCCACCACUACAUCGCCGCAUCAUCGCUCAACCACCGUCAACUUUGAACCAUCCGCCGUCUUCCUCAUAUAUUCCGGCGCUAAAUUCCAGACCUCACCGUCGUGUCAAUAACCGAACUCCUUCACACUUAGGGGAAUCCACCUCUGUUCACCGACAUCGCCGCCGCCACGAUUUGCUCUUCUAAAUUCACCACAACCAACCGCGACGCAGAUUCUCUCUUCCCCAACAGGCGAAACCAAGCAACAAACCUUCCAACUCCGCAACGACAACAAACAACAGCAGUGACACCGCUUCGGAAUUUGAUUGGUGAAGGAUGACGAAGCUCUCUUUUAUUUCCGGAUUUUUCCUCUUGUAUCUGUUAGACAUUUGCCUGCUGAUAGUGUGAGUUUUGUGUCUAAAUUUUUCUGCAUAAUGACUACUGAUAUGGAUAGUGUGAGUCUUGUAUUUAGAUUUCUUGUCAUGAUGGAUACUGAUACCAAUACUAUGAGUUUUAUGCACUGAUAUGGAUGGUGUAAAUUUGUGUUUUAUAUAAUAUAUCAUAGUACUGGUAGUGUGAAUAUGGAUCA